GGGUGAGUAACACGUGGGUAACCUGCCCAUAAGACUGGGAUCUCUCCGGGAAACCGGGGCUAAUACCGGAUAACAUUUUGAACCGCAUGGUUCGAAAUUGAAAGGCGGCUUCGGCUGUCACUUAUGGAUGGACCCGCGUCGCAUUAGCUAGUUGGUGAGGUAACGGCUCACCAAGGCAACGAUGCGUAGCCGACCUGAGAGGGUGAUCGGCCACACUGGGACUGAAACACGGCCCAAACUCCUACGGGAGGCAGCAGUAGGGAAUCUUCCGCAAUGGACGAAAGUCUGACGGAGCAACGCCGCGUGAGUGAUGAAGGCUUUCGGGUCGUAAAACUCUGUUGUUAGGGAAAAACAAGUGCUAUUUGAAUAAGCUGGCACCUUGACGGUACCUAACCAGAAAGCCACGGCUAACUACGUGCCA
Molecule: ribosomal RNA, 421 nt
Filed under: uncultured Bacillus sp.
Lineage: Bacteria; Bacillati; Bacillota; Bacilli; Caryophanales; Bacillaceae
Description: bacterial SSU rRNA
Rfam family: Bacterial small subunit ribosomal RNA
Source: RNAcentral